This 253-nucleotide ribosomal RNA is filed under the name uncultured bacterium. RNAcentral's name for it is "partial 16S ribosomal RNA". It matches the Rfam family "Bacterial small subunit ribosomal RNA", at positions 524 to 776 of the family's 1533-position model. The record is from RNAcentral.
UACGUAGGGUGCAAGCGUUGUCCGGAAUUAUUGGGCGUAAAGCGCACGUAGGCGGUUCGUUAAGUCAGAUGUGAAAGCCCUGGGCUCAACCCAGGAAGUGCAUUUGAAACUGGCGAGCUUGAGUAUGGAAGAGGGUCGCGGAAUUCCCGGUGUAGAGGUGAAAUUCGUAGAUAUCCGCAGGAACAUCCGAGGCGAAAGCGGCUCGCUGGAUCACAACUGACGCUGAGGGACGAAAGCUAGGGGAGCAAACAGG